GACGAACGCUGGCGGCGUGCUUAACACAUGCAAGUCGAACGGAAAGGCCCUGCUUUUGUGGGGUGCUCGAGUGGCGAACGGGUGAGUAACACGUGAGUAACCUGCCCUUGACUUUGGGAUAACUUCAGGAAACUGGGGCUAAUACCGGAUAGGAGCUCCUGCUGCAUGGUGGGGGUUGGAAAGUUUCGGCGGUUGGGGAUGGACUCGCGGCUUAUCAGCUUGUUGGUGGGGUAGUGGCUUACCAAGGCUUUGACGGGUAGCCGGCCUGAGAGGGUGACCGGCCACAUUGGGACUGAGAUACGGACCAGACUCCUACGGGAGACAGCAGUGGGGAGUAUUGCACAGUGGGCGGAAGCCUGAUGCAGCAACGCCGCGUGCGGGAUGACGGCCUUCGGGUUGUAAACCGCUUUCGCCUGUGACGAAGCGUGAGUGACGGUAAUGGGUAAAGAAGCACCGGCUAACUACGUG
This 468-nucleotide ribosomal RNA is filed under the name uncultured bacterium. RNAcentral describes it as "partial 16S ribosomal RNA". It matches the Rfam family "Bacterial small subunit ribosomal RNA", at positions 28 to 507 of the family's 1533-position model. The record is from RNAcentral.